UGCCAGCAGCCGCGGUAAUACGGGAGGGGCAAGCGUUAUCCGGAAUAACUGGGCGUAAAGGGUCCGUAGACAGUAAUGUAAGUUAUUUGUUAACUUUUAAAGCUUAACUUUAAAUUGGCAAAUAAUACUGCUUUACUUGAGUUUUUGUCAGAAGAACAGAAUUUUAUAAGAAGGGGUGAUACCUGUAGAUAUAUAAAGGAAUAUCAUUAGCGAAAGCGGUUCUUUAGUAAAAACUGACGUUGAGGGACGAAAGUGUAGGGAGCAAACAGGAUUAGAUA
Molecule: ribosomal RNA, 278 nt
Filed under: uncultured bacterium
Lineage: Bacteria
Description: partial 16S ribosomal RNA
Rfam family: Bacterial small subunit ribosomal RNA
Source: RNAcentral